UAUCUAUUAAGAGAAAAAAAAUAUAAUAAUGCACGUAAAUUUCAAAUAUAUAACAAUAAUUUAGUUAAAAAAAAUAAUUUUAUAAAAUAAUAAAUUUUCGCUACAAUCUUAAAUUUACAAUUGUCCUUAACGAGUUUUCAUUUUCUGGAAGGUAUUGUGUGAUUUCUUAUAAUUAUCAAUGUUAUCAAAAACAUCUUUCUCAAUAUAUAUAUAAGCAAGGAUCAUUCAAUAACUGAUCUCCCAUUGAGUUUCCACAAUUUUCAUGGUAGAAAAUGCCUUUUCAACACUUUGAGUUGUAAGUUGUAAUAGGUAAUAUCAACAGUAAUUUUACAAGAAAGUGAAAUAAAAAAAAAUAAAAAUUUAACUUAUGAAAUUGAGUUUGUCCACUAGUUUAGUUAACAUAAAAAGGAAAGGAAAAAGAAAAUAAAAAUUAAUACCAUUAAUGAGAGAGAGAGAGAGAGA
RNAcentral lists this unclassified non-coding RNA (462 nucleotides) under Hevea brasiliensis (rubber tree). The record is from RNAcentral. Lineage: Eukaryota; Viridiplantae; Streptophyta; Magnoliopsida; Malpighiales; Euphorbiaceae.